UGGGGAAUUUUGGACAAUGGGCGCAAGCCUGAUCCAGCAAUGCCGCGUGCAGGAUGAAGGCCUUCGGGUUGUAAACUGCUUUUGUACGGAGCGAAAAGGUCUGCCCUAAUACGGUGGGCUCAUGACGGUACCGUAAGAAUAAGCACCGGCUAACUACGUGCCAGCAGCCGCGGUAAUACGUAGGGUGCGAGCGUUAAUCGGAAUUACUGGGCGUAAAGCGUGCGCAGGCGGUUAUAUAAGACAGAUGUGAAAUCCCCGGGCUCAACCUGGGACCUGCAUUUGAAACUGGCAGGCUUGAGUCUUGUAGAGGGGGGUAGAAUUCCAGGUGUAGCAGUGAAAUGCGUAGAUAUGCGGAGGAACACCGAUGGCGAAGGCAAUCCCCUGGACCUGUACUGACGCUCAUGCACGAAAGCGUGGGGAGCAAACA
Molecule: ribosomal RNA, 427 nt
Filed under: uncultured bacterium
Lineage: Bacteria
Description: bacterial SSU rRNA
Rfam family: Bacterial small subunit ribosomal RNA
Source: RNAcentral